RNAcentral lists this ribosomal RNA (501 nucleotides) under uncultured marine eukaryote. Its description in RNAcentral is "SSU rRNA". It matches the Rfam family "Eukaryotic small subunit ribosomal RNA", at positions 613 to 1129 of the family's 1831-position model. The record is from RNAcentral.
UUGCAGUUAAAAAGCUCGUAGUUGGAUUUCUGGGAGGGUGCCAAUGUCCGUCGUCGUACGUGAUGCAGCGGCGCCCUUCCAUCCUUCUGUUAACGACUUUGGGCAUUCACUUGCCGGAGUCGGGCUCAGAUAUUUUACCUUGAGAAAAUUAGAGUGUUUCAGGCAGGCUAGGCCGGAAUACAUUAGCAUGGAAUAAUGGAAUAGGACUACGGUCUCUUUGUUGGUUUGAGGGACUGCAGUAAUGAUUAAUAGGGAUAGUUGGGGGCAUUAGUAUUUAAUUGUCAGAGGUGGAAUUCUCGGAUUUGUUAAAGACUAACUUAUGCGAAAGCAUUUGCCAAGGAUGUUUUCAUUAAUCAAGAACGAAAGUUAGGGGAUCAAAGACGAUCAGAUACCGUCCUAGUCUUAACCAUAAACUAUGCCGACUCGGGAUCGGGGGCGCGAACUAUCCGCCUUCGGCACCGUAUGAAAAAUCAAAGUCUUUGGGUUCUGGGGGGAUAUGGU